Molecule: ribosomal RNA, 253 nt
Filed under: uncultured bacterium
Lineage: Bacteria
Description: partial 16S ribosomal RNA
Rfam family: Bacterial small subunit ribosomal RNA
Source: RNAcentral
UACGAAGGGGGCUAGCGUUGCUCGGAAUCACUGGGCGUAAAGCGCACGUAGGCGGCUUGCUAAGUCAGGGGUGAAAUCCUGGAGCUCAACUCCAGAACUGCCUUUGAUACUGGCGAUCUUGAGUCCGGGAGAGGUGAGUGGAACUGCGAGUGUAGAGGUGAAAUUCGUAGAUAUUCGCAAGAACACCAGUGGCGAAGGCGGCUCACUGGCCCGGUACUGACGCUGAGACGCGAAAGCGUGGGGAGCAAACAGG